Molecule: ribosomal RNA, 426 nt
Filed under: uncultured Comamonadaceae bacterium
Lineage: Bacteria; Pseudomonadati; Pseudomonadota; Betaproteobacteria; Burkholderiales; Comamonadaceae
Description: partial 16S ribosomal RNA
Rfam family: Bacterial small subunit ribosomal RNA
Source: RNAcentral
GGAGGCAGCGGUGGGGAAUUUUGGCCAAUGGGCGCAAGCUUAAUCUAGCCAUUCCGCGUGCAGGAUGAAGUCUUUCGGGUUGUAAAGUGUUUUUGUCCGGAAGGAAACGGCUUUUUUUAUUCGGGAGGGUUAAUGCCGGUACCGUAAGAAUAAGCCCCGGCUAAUUUCGUGCCGGGAGCCGCGGUUAUUCGUAGGGUGCAAGCGUUAUUCGGAAUUACUGGGCGUAAAGCGUGCGCAGGCGGUUAUUUAAGUCAGGUGUGAAAUCCCCGGGUUCAACUUGGGAACUGCAUUUGUGACUGCGUGGCUGGAGUACGGCAGAGGGGGGUGGAAUUCCGYGUGUAGCGGUGAAAUGCGUAGAUAUGCGGAGGAACCCCGAUGGCGAAGGGAAUCCCCUGGGCCUGUACUGCCGCUCGGGGAGGAAAGCGU